CUUCACCGACCCCAGCCACAACGGCUCCCGCCGGUCCUGGCCGUAGGUCGCGAGCAGCGCCUGCGCCUC
Nocardia sp. NRRL S-836 is the source of this 69-nucleotide non-coding RNA. It matches the Rfam family "ASpks TB sRNA". NCBI's taxonomy places the organism in Bacteria, Bacillati, Actinomycetota, Actinomycetes, Mycobacteriales, Nocardiaceae. The record is from Rfam.